This 736-nucleotide ribosomal RNA is filed under the name Arcella intermedia laevis. RNAcentral's name for it is "bacterial SSU rRNA". It matches the Rfam family "Eukaryotic small subunit ribosomal RNA", at positions 453 to 1188 of the family's 1831-position model. The record is from RNAcentral. Lineage: Eukaryota; Tubulinea; Elardia; Arcellinida; Arcellidae.
GAUUCGAGGAGGUAGUGACAAGAAAUACCGAUGCGGGACCCUACGGGUGCCGCGUUCGGAAUGAGUACGAUUCGAACCACCUAACGAGGAACGAUCGGAGGGCAAGUCUGGUGCCAGCAGCCGCGGUAAUUCCAGCUCCAAUAGCGUACGUUAAAGUUGCUGCAGUUAAAAAGCUCGUAGUUGAACGUUCGGGUUCCGCGGGACGGGGCCGCCCCGCGAGGGACGGCGCCGCCCCGGGGCUCGUGAUAUCUCAUCUCGCCGCCCGUCGCGAGGCGGACGGAGGGAUGGAUGAGGUUACCUGGAAAAAAUCGGGGCGAUCUAGGCGGGCGAACCUCGCCAACGAACGAUCGGACAUGGGAUAACGGAAGAGGGCGUCGGCUCGACUUCGUCGGUUCCUCGGGCCGAGGCACGUACGGUGAAUAGGGACGGUCGGGGCCGCCCGUACCGGGUCGUGAGAGGUGAAAUUCUAGGAUCGACCCGAGACGAACCGCCGCGAAAGCAUUCGGCAAGGACGCUUUCAUUAAUCAAGAACGAAAGUCGGGGGAUCGAAGACGAUCAGAUACCGUCGUAGUCCCGACCGUAAACGAUGCCGACCGAGGGCCCGGAGGAGUUACGUACGACCCUCCGGGCCCUCCCGCGAGAAAUCAGGAGUAUUCGGGUUCCGGGGGGAGUAUGGUCGCAAGGCCGAAACUUAAAGGAAUUGACGGAAGGGCACCACCAGGAGUGGAAUCUGCGG